RNAcentral lists this ribosomal RNA (496 nucleotides) under uncultured bacterium. RNAcentral's name for it is "partial 16S ribosomal RNA". It matches the Rfam family "Bacterial small subunit ribosomal RNA", at positions 29 to 507 of the family's 1533-position model. The record is from RNAcentral.
AUGCACGCUGGCGGCGUGCCUAAUACAUGCAAGUCGCGCGAACAGACGAGGAGCUUGCUCCUCUGACGUUAGCGGCGGACGGGUGAGUAACACGUGGAUAACCUACCUAUAAGACUGGGAUAACUUCGGGAAACCGGAGCUAAUACCGGAUAACAUGUUGAACCGCAUGGUUUAACAGUGAAAGACGGUCUUGCUGUCACUUAUAGAUGGAUCCGCGCCGCAUUAGCUAGUUGGUAAGGUAACGGCUUACCAAGGCAACGAUGCGUAGCCGACCUGAGAGGGUGAUCGGCCACACUGGAACUGAGACACGGUCCAGACUCCUACGGGAGGCAGCAGUAGGGAAUCUUCCGCAAUGGGCGAAAGCCUGACGGAGCAACGCCGCGUGAGUGAAGAAGGUCUUCGGAUCGUAAAACUCUGUUAUUAGGGAAGAACAAAUGUGUAAGUAACUAUGCACGUCUUGACGGUACCUAAUCAGAAAGCCACGGCUAACUACGUG